Molecule: long non-coding RNA, 335 nt
Filed under: Androctonus crassicauda
Lineage: Eukaryota; Metazoa; Arthropoda; Arachnida; Scorpiones; Buthidae
Source: RNAcentral
UCAAGCUGCCACAGAUCUUUUUUCGGUGGCCCAUCAAAUUUAUGGGAUCGCCCACGAGCUUCGUAACCGUCUUAAAACGAAUCAACCGAAAUCUUACCGUGAUGCUCUUAUCAACAAACCGCUCGCUAGUGCCACCACUAAACUUAUUAAUAAAUCAAUACAAAAUUAUAGUGCUAACCUCACUAAUAGUGGACAUGCUGUUCUGGUUUACCCCGCUCCCAGUGAGGAGCAUGACCCUGUUGAGACUGACGCUAUUGAGACCAAGAUUAAAAAUAAUAUCAAGCCACAGAAACUUAAAAUUAAUAUUAAAGGAGUUAGAAGAGUGAACAACCAGG